Molecule: unclassified non-coding RNA, 981 nt
Filed under: Hevea brasiliensis (rubber tree)
Lineage: Eukaryota; Viridiplantae; Streptophyta; Magnoliopsida; Malpighiales; Euphorbiaceae
Source: RNAcentral
AACAAUACCAAUUUUCUGGUAUUCAAAUUCAAAGCAUAUUCAGAUACAACUUUGCAAGUAAGCCUGCCACAUUACAACACAGGGCUACAAACAGAAGGAUGUCCAUGUAUAAUCUUCAAAUGGAGAAAUACAGAUUCAAGAAUGGCACAACUGAUUCUGGAAUGAAAAUUAUGCACCUAAAUGAAAAGGGAAUUGGAUCGUCUAUGUAACUUGAAGCCGUCAUAUCUUACAUGAAGCUAUUCUGAAGUAUCCACUACUUCUUCUCAUUAGUCUUCUUCUUGAAUGACCCACUUAGUGCUGCUUUUGUUUUCGUCCACUCCUUCAUUGAAGCAGCACUCUUCAUGAAAGAACAAGUUUCGCUGUAGUUAGUAUCUCCUACAAGUGCUUGUUUUGAUGCAGAUACAUGUUCCUUUUCGGGGGUUGGAGCACUGGCUUCAUUCUUCUUUGUUUCUUUCUGCUGAUAGUUGUCCAACACUGGAAGCUCUUUACUGAAAUGAACAUUAUUCUGCUCCUCAACAGAAACAUCUUGCGAAUCACUUUUAUCCAUGCUGUUAGAUUUUUGUGCUUUUACGGUCUCUCCUAUCACUGGCAACUCUGGUUUUGGAAGACUUAGACCAGGCAAAAUUUGUGAAAUGCUGAAAGAACUUCUAGUGGCAUCACGAACCAAUUCUGUCCAUGAAGAUUUUUGUCGCCAUGCAGCACCUCUGACAUAAAUAUCUACAGGGCUAUUGUCAGUGGCAAUUUUAUCCAGCUCCUCGUGCUGAUCUGAUACUUUCUCUUCAUAUUCAACUUUAUCCAGCUCUUCAUGCUGGUCUGAUGCUUUCUCGUCAUUUGAUAAUUCAUCUUCAGAUUCAGCUUUAUCCAGCUCUUCAUGCUGAUCAAAUACCUUCUCAUCGUUUGAUACUUCAUCUUCAGAUUCAACUUUAUCCAGCUGUUCAUGCUGAUCUAAUACUUCCUCGUCGUUUGAUACUUCAUCUUCAG